GACGAACGCUGGCGGCGUGCUUAACACAUGCAAGUCGUACGGUAAGGCCCUUUCGGGGGUACACGAGUGGCGAACGGGUGAGUAACACGUGAGUAACCUGCCCACAACUUUGGGAUAACGCUAGGAAACUGGUGCUAAUACUGGAUAUGUGCUCCUGCUGCAUGGUGGGGGUUGGAAAGCUCCGGCGGUUGUGGAUGGACUCGCGGCCUAUCAGCUUGUUGGUGGGGUAGUGGCCUACCAAGGCGGCGACGGGUAGCCGGCCUGAGAGGGUGACCGGCCACACUGGGACUGAGAGACGGCCCAGACGCCUACGUGAGGCAGCAGUGGGGAAUAUUGCACAAUGGGCGCAAGCCGGAUGCAGCAACGCCGCGUGCGGGAUGACGGCCUUCUGGUUGUAAACCGCUUUCAGCAGGGACGAAGCUGUUUGUGACGGUACCUGCAGAAGAAGCACCGGCUAACUACGUG
RNAcentral lists this ribosomal RNA (465 nucleotides) under uncultured bacterium. RNAcentral describes it as "partial 16S ribosomal RNA". It matches the Rfam family "Bacterial small subunit ribosomal RNA", at positions 28 to 507 of the family's 1533-position model. The record is from RNAcentral.